Molecule: long non-coding RNA, 1276 nt
Filed under: Piliocolobus tephrosceles (Ugandan red Colobus)
Lineage: Eukaryota; Metazoa; Chordata; Mammalia; Primates; Cercopithecidae
Description: lncRNA (ENSPTEG00000019916.1)
Source: RNAcentral
UCUAAGUCAUGAAGAAGCUGGUAUACUGAAUAUAGAUCCUAUUAAUGAUCCGAAUACAGAGACAAAAAAUCAAAAUGGAAGUACGUUAGAUAAUGGUUAUAAAAAAUUAGAAACGUAUCUGACCAAUAAUGGGCUGUACCCUUCAUCUGAGUUUUUUCAUAAUAACGCUAAUAUAGGUCGUUUAUUUAUGUCAAAUAUGAAUAACCAUUCUCUACUUAAGAAUAUGGGUUACUCUGUACUCUUUAUUAAUUAUACUAAACAAAAUCAGAAAAACUCAAAAGCUAUUAUUGAAGGAAAAUUUUUUACAUGUCAAAAUAAUGAAGAAAACCAAUGUCAUCAAACCUUUUAUAAGUCAUAUGAUCUUACUGCUCCUAAUGACGAAAAUGAUAAGCAUUAUAAAACCAUACGUACGCUAUCGGAUAUUUACACUAGACAUAUAGAUAUUAAAGACACAAAUUUCAAAACAGGUUACGUCGCACAACUUAUAAGGUAUACACAAACAAAAAUAGAUGAUAAUAUAUUUUUUGCAUUAGACGGAAUAAUCUUCAUAUGUGUAGGAAAAGACAAUGGUUCAACAUGUAGAAUGAAAUAUCCAUAUGAUAUGCGUAACGAUUAUCCAAAUUUGUGUGAGAAUUUUGAAUUAAUGCAAAUCCCUAUAACUGUAAAAUCUAAAAAACAGUGUAAUUAUCAAUAUGGCACAGAUUUAGUAUAUAUUCCAACUAUUGACCCAUCUGGAUUGCUCUCAUCAUAUAACAUAGAAGUUCAUCAAAAUUAUCCACACAAGUUUAGUACACUAAAUAUGUUUAAAGAUUUUUGUCAUCAAAUAAAAAUUGAUGAUGAUAGAUGUACAGAUGUAUUUUACUAUGUGUACAAUUUUUUGACACAAAACGACACAAAAGAAAAUGUAGAAAUUGAAAAUUUUUUAAAAACAUGUAUGCAACCUAUUUCUGAUAAUGAAACAAUACAAAGUGAAUCUGAUUCUGAUACAGAACCUAUAGAAACAAGAGACAACUUAAAUAAUGAACAAACAACUCAUGAAGAUUUAAUGAUGCAACUUGAAAAUAGUAUAAUAAAUGACCAAAUAAACACAUGUAAAAAAACUUUCAUCAAAUUAGUAACUUUUUAUUAAGAUAUUCCUAACAAAUUAAAAUCCAGUUCUACAAUUUAUAAUUAAAUUUAUGCUAUUUUUUUUUUUGAUACUUACAAUUUAUAUGUUUUAAUCAUUAUAUUUAAGUUAUAAUUUUUAAAAUACGAUAAUCCUUUGUCUCAUUUACGC